Molecule: ribosomal RNA, 449 nt
Filed under: uncultured bacterium
Lineage: Bacteria
Description: partial 16S ribosomal RNA
Rfam family: Bacterial small subunit ribosomal RNA
Source: RNAcentral
AACGAACGCUGGCGGCAGGCUUAACACAUGCAAGUCGAACGCACCUUUCGGGGUGAGUGGCAGACGGGUGAGUAACGCGUGGGAAUCUACCCUUCUCUACGGGAUAGCUCCGGGAAACUGGAAUUAAUACCGUAUACGUCCUGAGGGAGAAAGAUUUAUCGGGGAAGGAUGAGCCCGCGUUGGAUUAGCUAGUUGGUGGGGUAAAGGCCUACCAAGGCGACGAUCCAUAGCUGGUCUAAGAGGAUGAUCAGCCACAUUGGGACUGAGACACGGCCCAAACUCCUACGGGAGGCAGCAGUGGGGAAUAUUGGACAAUGGGCGCAAGCCUGAUCCAGCCAUGCCGCGUGAGUGAUGAAGGCCCUAGGGUUGUAAAGCUCUUUCAGUGGGGACGAUAAUGACGGUACCCACAGAAGAAGCCCCGGCCAACUUCGUGCCAGCCGCCGCCGUAA